AACAUAGAGGAAAUUCCACAU
Molecule: microRNA, 21 nt
Filed under: Echinops telfairi (small Madagascar hedgehog)
Lineage: Eukaryota; Metazoa; Chordata; Mammalia; Afrosoricida; Tenrecidae
Also listed under: 1 other name
Description: Ete-Mir-376-P2_3p (mature (guide))
Source: RNAcentral